CCAAUCGAACCCGGAGAUAGCUGGUUCUCCUCGAAAUAGCUUUAGGGCUAGCCUCAUGGAUCAUUGGUGGGGGUAGAGCACUGAAUGUGCGCGGGGGCCACAAAGCCUACCAAACGCUAUCAAACUACGAAUACCAUACAAUGCAGACCAUGGGAGUCAGUCCGCGAGAGAUAAGUUCCGCGGGCAAAAGGGGAACACCCCAGAUCAACCGCUAAGGUCCCCAAGUUCACGUUAAGUGGAGAAGGAUGUGGAAUUGCACAGACAACCAGGAUGUUGGCUCAGAAGCAGCCACACAUUUAAAGAGUGCGUAAUAGCUCACUGGUCGAGUGAUUGUGCGCCGAAGAUGUCCGGGGCUAAACGUGACACCGAAGCGAUGGGUGCAUCUGAAAGGAUGCGCGGUAGAGGAGCAAUGUGCAGAGGCAGAAGCCGUAUCGAGAGGCACGGUGGACACUGCACAAGAGAGAAUGCCGGUAUGAGUAGCGAGAGGCAUGCGAGAAACAUGCCCGUCGAAAGCCCAAGGUUUCCUGGGGAAGGUUCAUCCGCCCAGGGUAAGUCGGGGCCUAAGCCGAGGACGGAAGUCGUAGGCGAUGGACAGCAGGUGUAGAUUCCUGCACUACCGAUGGAAUGAAGCAGUGACACAGAAGGAUAACUCGAGCAGGGUGAUGGUCAACCCUGUGCAAGCAUCAAGGUUGGGUUGUAGUGAAGUACGCAACCCUAUAAGCUGAGGUGUGAUGCGGACCGAAAUUUUAGUAGGGAAGCGAGUGAGUUCACGCUGGCGAGAAAAGCUGCUAGUACAUCCAAAGGUACCCGUACCGGAAACCGACGCAGGUGGGCGAGGAGAGAAUCCUGAGACGAACGGGAGAACCCUUGUUAAGGAACUCGGCAAAAUGACCCCGUAACUUCGGGAUAAGGGGUGCCUGCGAGAGCAGGCCGCAGAGAAUAGUCACAAGCGACUGUUUAGCAAAAACACAGGUAUCUGCGAAAGCGAGAGCUGACGUAUAGGUGCUGACACCUGCCCGGUGCUGGAAGGUUAAGGGAACAUGUUAGAGCAAUCGAAGCAUCGAACCGAAGCCCCAGUAAACGGCGGCCGUAACUAUAACGGUCCUAAGGUAGCGAAAUUCCUUGUCGGGUAAGUUCCGACCCGCACGAAUGGUGUAACGACUUGUGAGCUGUCUCAACAGGGGGCCCGGUGAAAUUGAAGUAUGGGUGAAGAUGCCCAUUACCCGCGACUGGACGGAGAGACCCCGUAGAGCUUUACUGCAGCCUGAUAUUGAGUUUCGGUAACUGAUGCACAGGAUAGGUGGGAGUCUGAGAGACAUGGGUUUCGGCUCGUGUGGAGACGCUGUUGGGAUACCACUCUUCGGUUACUGAAAUUCUAACAUAGCUCUGUGAAACCAGAGGAUGGACAGUGUCAGGUGGACAGUUUGACUGGGGCGGUCGCCUCCGAAAGAGUAACGGAGGCGCCCAAAGGUACCCUCAGAAUGGAUGGAAACCAUUCGAAGAGCGCAAAGGCAGAAGGGUGCCUGACUGCGAGAUUGACAAAUCGAGCAGAGACGAAAGUCGGGCUUAGUGAUCCGGCGGUAUUGAGUGGAAAAGCCGUCGCUUAACGGAUAAAAGCUACCUCGGGGAUAACAGGCUGAUCUCCCCCAAGAGUCCACAUCGACGGGGAGGUUUGGCACCUCGAUGUCGGCUCGUCGCAUCCUGGGGCUGAAGCAGGUCCCAAGGGUUUGGCUGUUCGCCAAUUAAAGCGGCACGCGAGCUGGGUUCAGAACGUCGUGAGACAGUUCGGUCCCUAUCCAUCGUGGGCGUAGGAGUCAUGAGAGGAGCUGUUCCUAGUACGAGAGGACCGGAAUGGACGCACCACUGGUGCAACUGUUGUCGUGCCAACGGCAUAGCAGGGAAGCGAAGUGCGGAUGGGAUAAACGCUGAAGGCAUCUAAGCGUGAAGCCCACCUCAAGAAUAAGACUCCACAAUAGACCCCUGGAGGACUACCAGGUAGAUAGGUCAUCGGUGGAAGCGCUGUAAGGCGUGCAGCUUGAUGAUACUAAUCGGUCGAAAGCUUCAUUUA
Molecule: ribosomal RNA, 2068 nt
Filed under: human gut metagenome
Description: bacterial LSU rRNA
Rfam family: Bacterial large subunit ribosomal RNA
Source: RNAcentral